AUGAUCUGCUAAAUCUAAAAAAACAAAUAAAUAAGAAGUAAAUUAGCAUUUGAAAGGGAGGAAAAAAAAAAAAAGCAGAAGAUUUUAGUCGGUGUUGGGGCACUUGGUCUCUUUUAUAUUGAAGGCUCAAGGCUUCCCUCAAACCACUUCUCUCUAUAUUACACACAGAGAGAGACUGGGACUGAGACUUCUAUGGAGGUUUUUGUAUGUUUUUACUGCAACUAGAGGAGGCAUCCAAAGGGAUCGCAUUGAUCCCAAGUGUCUGUCCCCCAUAAUUUUGGAUCAUGCUAUCCCUUUGGAUUCCUCCUUUGGUGGCUUCUAUAACAUUAAUGGGUUUUAGUGGUGGUGAUGCUCCACACACUCGCCCUUCUCAUGCAUCAUCAACACCAACAAGUUUAGUAUGGCUCACCGAGAAAACCAACCUUGUAUUGAAGUUUGUUCAGACAGACAAUUUUAUUAUAUCAACGUACAGAACUACAGAUCAAAUUUUAAAUGAAACUUCUCAAUAUUGCCACUUACAAACCAUUGGAUUAAUCCAAACUCCAAAUUUGGCACGACGCCAUUGGAUCUGAUUUUAGUAAGGCUACAUACUACUGUCUACUUGCCCCAGAAAAAAAGAAAUGGGCAUUGGCUUCGAGAAAAUUUCCAAGAGAGGUAAGUAUCUUCUUGUUAUUGUUGCUUACAGUUGUCAUGAAUGUGAUUUGGUAAUUUUAUAAUACCCACAUUUAGUCCUUCAAGAUGGUAAACAUGUAACCAAGGACGAAUAUUUAUUCCUUCUUUCAAAACAUGUGAGACGAUAAAUUUAUUUGUUGUUCGAGGGAGUCUGUACCGAUCUUUAAUCGAUGUGAGGUUUUCUGGCGGAGCUCCUACGCAAUCUCCAACCGAGAACUCUUGUUUUCAGUGAAAGAAUUAGAAGUUAAUUUCUGGUGAAGGGAGAGUUUCUCUUGCAGCUACAUUACACGCAUAUGUACAUUCCAUCUCCUACAAACUGCGAGCUUUAAUUAAUUUGGUCCUUUUCAUGAACCAUCAUCAACGUGAUAACCAAGUGGAACCUAGCUAAUUGCAACUAUACUGCAAAUAAAACAGCGCCGCUCGUAUUGAAGAUAUAAUGCAAUCAAUUUCUACUCAUAAAAAUGACUUGGCAAGGAUUUACCCCCAUUUCUUUAGAUAUUUCUUUUAAUUUCUGAUCAUUACAAACUCCCAACAAGUUGAUUUCACCUUUACAAAACGCUGACUUUUCUCUCAUAAACACCGACAGCUAACUGCAGGUUUGCACAACUUUCCAUAGGUUCUUGCUCAACCUAACUCCUAUUGACAUAUUCUGCUUGUCUAAACCGUAUCUACAAAGCUAUGAAACAUGGGUUAAAGGUCCUAAACCACUAUAUGGUAUGGCCGUAUGCCAUGUGGCCCUGGAUCAAGGUCCAAAUCACAUGGUUUGAGGACUUUAAUUAGAAUCCAAGGCAGUGAAAGAUGAUAUAUUAAAGGACUUCUUUUUACCACUUUGGGCCUCAGACUGUGUCCUAAAGGCAAAGGAAUCGUACGCAUGUGAUAAGACCUUAAAAAAGUCCUUUAUAUUUGCUCUAAUUUUUUUUUGUAGUGAAGGGUCUGAUCCCUCCUAGCACAUGACACCAACAUUCUAGUAAUGACUUACCAUUUGAUCUCUUUUGUCACAUGGCCCCAACCUUUCUGUGUUGGGUUCCCUUUUUUAUCACGAACUCCAAGCAUUUACGGAUCUCGAGCUCAUGCAUUCAAGCACUAAUACAAGGACAACUUCAAUUUUAAAUGAGAAAAACACCAUCACUAACACAUGCAAUUGAGCUUUUUCUAGACAUACAUGGCCUUUCUUUCUUUUUUCUUUUUUCUUUUUUUUUUUACCAUAUACGGUCACAUGAUGGUGCAUAAAAUUAGAAAAGAAAUUCACCUGUUUGGGCUAGCCCCAAAUGGUGUGGCAUCCAUUUCGACAUGGUCUAAUCGGUGUGAUCCAUGUCCGAAAUUAAUGUAUCCUUAUUUUUUCUCUUUUAUUAUCGUGCUUAGUGUAUUUUUGAGUAUCGAGAAGGUAUAAUAUGAUAUCAUGCACGGUCUAUGCAUACAAUAUUUAUUAUGGUUAAUUAAUAUAUUUUAUUGAUAAAUCAUUUACAAGUAUAAAUUUUUAUGAAGAUUAAACAUCACAUUUUUUAGUCAAUAAUUGACGAUGCAAUAUAAAUAAUUUUCUAUGCAACUCAUGUGUCUCUUUCUUGACUAAUAGAGAUUAAAAUUUGAGAGGAGCUGAUAUGAUUAAAAUCUAUACAUGCUUUAGGUGAUCAAGUAAACAGAUAGGUUCAUAGAACUAUCAUUUUUUUUAACAAUUAUUUUAUGUAUAUUUUCUCUUGUAUAUUUAUUGAUUUAAAUAUUGAAGAGUUCCUCAUCCCACGAGGGUUUGUUUUCCGAGCGAACCUCCACCACUAUUGAAGACCAACAACCCGACUCACCUAUGUUUCAAGUUUAAAUCCAAUUUUGCAUAGCAUGAAAGCCUAAUUUACGUGUGAAGUUUUCCCCGGAUUAUCACACGUAUAGCUAGUGUUGCAUAUUCUGGUAUCUAUCAGUCCCAAAUUGUUAAUUGAUUAGAUGUUUCAAUAUAAUAUCACAGUACUAGCAAAAGCCUUGCGCUCAAUGCUUGUCCUA
Molecule: long non-coding RNA, 2661 nt
Organism: Populus nigra (black poplar)
Lineage: Eukaryota; Viridiplantae; Streptophyta; Magnoliopsida; Malpighiales; Salicaceae
Exons: 2
Source: RefSeq, a predicted model, not a curated record